RNAcentral lists this ribosomal RNA (742 nucleotides) under uncultured bacterium. RNAcentral's name for it is "bacterial SSU rRNA". It matches the Rfam family "Bacterial small subunit ribosomal RNA", at positions 65 to 780 of the family's 1533-position model. The record is from RNAcentral.
AGAUGAUUUUAGUGCUUGCACUAAAUGAAACUAGAUACAAGCGAGCGGCGGACGGGUGAGUAACACGUGGGUAACCUGCCCAAGAGACUGGGAUAACACCUGGAAACAGAUGCUAAUACCGGAUAACAACACUAGACGCAUGUCUAGAGUUUGAAAGAUGGUUCUGCUAUCACUCUUGGAUGGACCUGCGGUGCAUUAGCUAGUUGGUAAGGUAACGGCUUACCAAGGCAAUGAUGCAUAGCCGAGUUGAGAGACUGAUCGGCCACAUUGGGACUGAGACACGGCCCAAACUCCUACGGGAGGCAGCAGUAGGGAAUCUUCCACAAUGGACGAAAGUCUGAUGGAGCAACGCCGCGUGAGUGAAGAAGGGUUUCGGCUCGUAAAGCUCUGUUGGUAGUGAAGAAAGAUAGAGGUAGUAACUGGCCUUUAUUUGACGGUAAUUACUUAGAAAGUCACGGCUAACUACGUGCCAGCAGCCGCGGUAAUACGUAGGUGGCAAGCGUUGUCCGGAUUUAUUGGGCGUAAAGCGAGUGCAGGCGGUUCAAUAAGUCUGAUGUGAAAGCCUUCGGCUCAACCGGAGAAUUGCAUCAGAAACUGUUGAACUUGAGUGCAGAAGAGGAGAGUGGAACUCCAUGUGUAGCGGUGGAAUGCGUAGAUAUAUGGAAGAACACCAGUGGCGAAGGCGGCUCUCUGGUCUGCAACUGACGCUGAGGCUCGAAAGCAUGGGUAGCGAACAGGAUUA